UGCAAGGUUAAAACACUAAAGCCGGCGGACCAUAGAACUCCCCGGAAACUAAACCAAAAAAAAAAGAUCGGAAAUCUAAACAAACGUGUGACACACGAACAACUAAACCAUGCACAAAAUCCUAAAACUCUUUCAACAAAUCAUCAUAAGAUAGAAAAGACAAAGACUUAGCAAUCUAUGAUUAGUCAGAUUUUUGCUAUGAAGUAAGCAAGAGAGCUCGCAACGCAAUAGACACAAGAAGAGCAUGGACUUCAUCUGAACCACAUGUUCACAAUGACAACACCCGAACCAUCAUGACCUCAUGUGAACCACUUGUUCACGAUGACAAUCACCAAACCACUACACCUAAACCAAGGCAAAAACCCGUGAAGAAAUAACACCCGAGAUAAGCCCCAACUCAACCGCACCUUUAUCUGGAGGCCUCCAUGCCUCAACCUCGUUAUAUUGCUUCACUAGACGAAUCCAUAGAAGAAAAUCAGAGACUAAAAGCAUACCAGGAAGAACACUUAUUCAAGGACCGAAAGAGAGACCUCUUCGAAACUGGGAGAUAGAGAGGUAACCUGAAACAAUCUUCAUCUCAAGGACCGUGACCUUCACCUGCUCACCACACAUCACCACGAUACUACUACACCAUUGCUGAAUCAAAGAUCAAUUAAGGCAAACUCUAAAAUCCAUGAGAGAUUAACCGGACUCAACUCCUCUAAACCUGUCACAU
This 715-nucleotide long non-coding RNA is filed under the name Brassica napus (rape). RNAcentral describes it as "long non-coding RNA (BNAP_LNC019717)". Lineage: Eukaryota; Viridiplantae; Streptophyta; Magnoliopsida; Brassicales; Brassicaceae. The record is from RNAcentral.